CAGCCGCCGCGGUAAUACGAAGGGUGCAAGCGUUAAUCGGAAUUACUGGGCGUAAAGCGUGCGUAGGCGGUGAGUUAAGUCUGCUGUGAAAUCCCCGGGCUCAACCUGGGAAUGGCAGUGGAUACUGGCUCGCUAGAGUGUGUCAGAGGAUGGUGGAAUUCCCGGUGUAGCGGUGAAAUGCGUAGAGAUCGGGAGGAACACCAACGGCGAAAGCACUCUGCUGGGCCGACACUGACACUGAGAGGCGAAAGCUAGGGGAGCGAAUGGGAUUAGAUACCCCUGUAGUCCCUGUCUCUUAUAC
This 301-nucleotide ribosomal RNA is filed under the name uncultured bacterium. RNAcentral describes it as "partial 16S ribosomal RNA". It matches the Rfam family "Bacterial small subunit ribosomal RNA", at positions 509 to 807 of the family's 1533-position model. The record is from RNAcentral.